GACGAACGCUGGCGGCGUGCUUAACACAUGCAAGUCGAACGGAAAGGCCCUGCUUUUGUGGGGUGCCCGAGUGGCGAACGGGUGAGUAACACGUGAGUAACCUGCCCUUGACUUUGGGAUAACUUCAGGAAACUGGGGCUAAUACCGGAUAGGAGCUCCUGCUGCAUGGUGGGGGUUGGAAAGUUUCGGCGGUUGGGGAUGGACUCGCGGCUUAUCAGCUUGUUGGUGGGGUAGUGGCUUACCAAGGCUUUGACGGGUAGCCGGCCUGAGAGGGUGACCGGCCACAUUGGGACUGCGAUACGGCCCAGACUCCUACGGGAGGCAGCAGUGGGGAAUAUUGCACAAUGGGCGGAAGCCUGAUGCAGCAACGCCGCGUGCGGGAUGACGGCCUUCGGGUUGUAAACCGCUUUCGCCUGUGACGAAGCGUGAGUGACGGUAAUGGGUAAAGAAGCACCGGCUAACUACGUG
RNAcentral lists this ribosomal RNA (468 nucleotides) under uncultured bacterium. RNAcentral's name for it is "partial 16S ribosomal RNA". It matches the Rfam family "Bacterial small subunit ribosomal RNA", at positions 28 to 507 of the family's 1533-position model. The record is from RNAcentral.